AGUAGGGAAUAUUGCGCAAUGGGGGAAACCCUGACGCAGCAACGCCGCGUGGAGGAUGACACUUUUCGGAGCGUAAACUCCUUUUCUUAGGGAAGAAUUCUGACGGUACCUAAGGAAUAAGCACCGGCUAACUCCGUGCCAGCAGCCGCGGUAAUACGGAGGGUGCAAGCGUUACUCGGAAUCACUGGGCGUAAAGGGCGCGUAGGCGGAUUAUCAAGUCUCUUGUGAAAUCUAAUGGCUUAACCAUUAAACUGCUUGGGAAACUGAUAGUCUAGAGUGAGGGAGAGGCAGAUGGAAUUGGUGGUGUAGGGGUAAAAUCCGUAGAUAUCACCAAGAAUACCCAUUGCGAAGGCGAUCUGCUGGAACUCAACUGACGCUAAGGCGCGAAAGCGUGGGGAGCAAACAGGAUUAGAUACCCUGGUAGUCCACGCCCUAAACGAUGUACACUAGUUGUUGGGGUGCUAGUCAUCUCAGUAAUGCAGCUAACGCAUUAAGUGUACCGCCUGGGGAGUACGGUCGCAAGAUUAAAACUCAAAGGAAUAGACGGGGACCCGCACAAGCGGUGGAGCAUGUGGUUUAAUUCGAAGAUACGCGAAGAACCUUACCUGGGCUUGAUAUCCUAAGAACCUUAUAGAGAUAUGAGGGUGCUAGCUUGCUAGAACUUAGAGACAGGUGCUGCACGGCUGUCGUCAGCUCGUGUCGUGAGAUGUUGGGUUAAGUCCCGCAACGAGCGCAACCCACGUAUUUAGUUGCUAACGGUUCGGCCGAGCACUCUAAAUAGACUGCCUUCGUAAGGAGGAGGAAGGUGUGGACGACGUCAAGUCAUCAUGGCCCUUAUGCCCAGGGCGACACACGUGCUACAAUGGCAUAUACAAUGAGACGCAAUACCGCGAGGUGGAGCAAAUCUAUAAAAUAUGUCCCAGUUCGGAUUGUUCUCUGCAACUCGAGAGCAUGAAGCCGGAAUCGCUAGUAAUCGUAGAUCAGCCAUGCUACGGUGAAUACGUUCCCGGGUCUUGUACUCACCGCCCGUCACACCAUGGGAGUUGAUUUCACUCGAAGCCGGAAUACUAAACUAGUUACCGUCCACAGUGGAAUCAGCGACUGGGGUGAAGUCGUAACAAGGUAACCGUAGGAGAACCUGCGGUUGGAUCACCUCCUUUCUA
This 1163-nucleotide ribosomal RNA is filed under the name Campylobacter jejuni. RNAcentral's name for it is "bacterial SSU rRNA". It matches the Rfam family "Bacterial small subunit ribosomal RNA", at positions 353 to 1533 of the family's 1533-position model. The record is from RNAcentral. Lineage: Bacteria; Pseudomonadati; Campylobacterota; Epsilonproteobacteria; Campylobacterales; Campylobacteraceae.